CCUACGGGAGGCAGCAGUAGGGAAUCUUCCGCAAUGGACGAAAGUCUGACGGAGCAACGCCGCGUGAACGAUGAAGGCCUUCGGGUCGUAAAGUUCUGUUGUUAGGGAAGAACAAGUGCUAGUUAAAUAAGCUGGCACCUUGACGGUACCCAACCAGAAAGCCACGGCUAACUACGUGCCAGCAGCCGCGGUAAUACGUAGGUGGCAAGCGUUGUCCGGAAUUAUUGGGCGUAAAGCGCGCGCAGGCGGUUUCUUAAGUCUGAUGUGAAAGCCCCCGGCUCAACCGGGGAGGGUCAUUGGAAACUGGGAAACUUGAGUGCAGAAGAGGAAAGUGGAAUUCCAAGUGUAGCGGUGAAAUGCGUAGAGAUUUGGAGGAACACCAGUGGCGAAGGCGACUUUCUGGUCUGUAACUGACGCUGAGGCGCGAAAGCGUGGGGAGCAAACAGGAUUAGAUACCCUGGUAGUCCACGCUGUAAACGAUGAGUGCUAAGUGUUAGAGGGUUUCCGCCCUUUAGUGCUGAAGUUAACGCAUUAAGCACUCCGCCUGGGGAUACGGUCGCAAGACUGAAACUCAAAUGAAUUGACGG
This 587-nucleotide ribosomal RNA is filed under the name uncultured bacterium. RNAcentral's name for it is "bacterial SSU rRNA". It matches the Rfam family "Bacterial small subunit ribosomal RNA", at positions 338 to 916 of the family's 1533-position model. The record is from RNAcentral.